Molecule: ribosomal RNA, 161 nt
Filed under: Hordeum murinum subsp. murinum
Lineage: Eukaryota; Viridiplantae; Streptophyta; Magnoliopsida; Poales; Poaceae
Also listed under: 1 other name
Description: 5.8S ribosomal RNA
Rfam family: 5.8S ribosomal RNA
About the family: 5.8S ribosomal RNA (5.8S rRNA) is a component of the large subunit of the eukaryotic ribosome. It is transcribed by RNA polymerase I as part of the 45S precursor that also contains 18S and 28S rRNA. Functionally, it is thought that 5.8S rRNA may be involved in ribosome translocation.
Source: RNAcentral
ACGACUCUCGGCAACGGAUAUCUCGGCUCUCGCAUCGAUGAAGAACGUAGCGAAAUGCGAUACCUGGUGUGAAUUGCAGAAUCCCGCGAACCAUCGAGUCUUUGAACGCAAGUUGCGCCCGAGGCCACUCGGCUGAGGGCACGCCUGCCUGGGCGUCACGC